This 253-nucleotide ribosomal RNA is filed under the name uncultured bacterium. Its description in RNAcentral is "partial 16S ribosomal RNA". It matches the Rfam family "Bacterial small subunit ribosomal RNA", at positions 524 to 776 of the family's 1533-position model. The record is from RNAcentral.
UACGUAGGGUGCGAGCGUUGUCCGGAAUUAUUGGGCGUAAAGGGCUCGUAGGCGGUUUGUCGCGUCGGGAGUGAAAUCCACUGGCUUAACUGGUGGCUUGCUUUCGAUACGGGCAGACUGGAGGUAUGCAGGGGAGAACGGAAUUCCUGGUGUAGCGGUGAAAUGCGCAGAUAUCAGGAGGAACACCGGUGGCGAAGGCGGUUCUCUGGGCAUGUUCUGACGCUGAGGAGCGAAAGUGUGGGGAGCGAACAGG